RNAcentral lists this ribosomal RNA (946 nucleotides) under human gut metagenome. RNAcentral's name for it is "bacterial SSU rRNA". It matches the Rfam family "Bacterial small subunit ribosomal RNA", at positions 8 to 943 of the family's 1533-position model. The record is from RNAcentral.
AGAGUUUGAUCCUGGCUCAGGAUGAACGCUAGCUACAGGCUUAACACAUGCAAGUCGAGGGGCAGCAUGGGGGUUGCUCGCAACCCCUGAUGGCGACCGGCGCACGGGUGAGUAACGCGUAUCCGACCUUCCCGCGGCAGGGGCAUAACCCGGUGAAAGCCGGACUAAUUCCCCGUGGUCCCCACACAGGCCAUCCUUCGUGGGGUAUAGGACUCGUCCGGCCGCGGACGGGGAUGCGUCCGAUUAGCUAGUUGGCGGGGUAACGGCCCACCAAAGCACCGAUCGGUAGGGGUUCUGAGAGGAAGGCCCCCCACAUUGGGACUGAGACACGGCCCAAACUCCUACGGGAGGCAGCAGUGAGGAAUAUUGGUCAAUGGGCGCGAGCCUGAACCAGCCAAGUAGCGUGGAGGACGACGGCCCUACGGGUUGUAAACUCCUUUUGCGCGGGGAUAAAGUGCGCGACGUGCUCGCGCAUUGCAGGUACCGCGCGAACAAGGACCGGCCAAUUCCGUGCCAGCAGCCGCGGUAAUACGGAAGGUCCGGGUGUUAUCCGGAUUUAUUGGGUUUAAAGGGAGCGCAGACUGCCUGUCAAGCGUGCAGUGAAACGCCGCGGCCCAACCGCGGCCCUGCUGCGCGAACUGGCGGGCUUGAGUGGGCUGGAGGCACGCGGAAUUCGUGGUGUAGCGGUGAAAUGCUCAGAUAUCACGAGGAACCCCGAUUGCGAAGGCAGCGUGCCGCGUCCCGACUGACGUUGAGGCUCGAAGGUGCGGGUAUCGAACAGGAUUAGAUACCCUGGUAGUCCGCACGGUAAACGAUGGAUGCCCGCUCCCGGCGACACACUGCCGGGGGCCAAGCGAAAGCGUUAAGCAUCCCACCUGGGGAGUACGCCGGCAACGGUGAAACUCAAAGGAAUUGACGGGGGCCCGCACAAGCGGAGGAACAUGUG